RNAcentral lists this ribosomal RNA (450 nucleotides) under uncultured bacterium. RNAcentral's name for it is "bacterial SSU rRNA". It matches the Rfam family "Bacterial small subunit ribosomal RNA", at positions 354 to 796 of the family's 1533-position model. The record is from RNAcentral.
GUGAGGAAUAUUGGGCAAUGGGCGAAAGCCUGACCCAGCCACGCCGCGUGAGUGAUGAAGGCCUUCGGGUUGUAAAGCUCUGUGGGGAGGGAAGAAAAAGCGGGAGAGUAACUGCUCUCGUGUUGACGGUACCUCCUUAGCAAGCACCGGCUAACUCUGUGCCAGCAGCCGCGGUAAUUCAGAGGGUGCAAACGUUGCUCGCAAUUACUGGGCGUAAAGCGCGUGUAGGCUUACAUGCAAGUUGGGUUGUAAAUCCCAGGGCUCAACCUAGGAACUGCACUCGAGACUGCACGUAUUGAGUACGGGAGAGGGAAGCGGAAUUCCGGGUGUAGAGGUGAAAUUCGUGGAUAUCCGGAAGAGCACCAGUGGCGAAGGCGGCUUCAUGGACAGUAACUGACGCUGAGACGCGAAAGCGUGGGGAGCAAACAGGAUUAGAAACCCGGGUAGUCC